AAAGCUCAAGGCUGAACUUAGCAGCACGCCGGGAACCUGCGCAUGCGUCUGGGAGCCAAGCAUGUUCUCCUAUGGAACACGAAGUACCUGAAGUGGAAUGAAGAAGCCCAUGUUUGAGGCCUGCGCCCUGGCGGGAGCAUUGAAGGGGCAUCUGACACGUUACACAACGCUGAUCUAUCCAGGACGGCUUCAGGAUGGACUAUAAGAAGGAGGU
Bufo gargarizans (Asiatic toad) is the source of this 214-nucleotide long non-coding RNA. RefSeq lists it as uncharacterized. NCBI's taxonomy places the organism in Eukaryota, Metazoa, Chordata, Amphibia, Anura, Bufonidae. The record is from RefSeq and is a predicted model, not a curated record. The transcript is spliced from 3 exons.